AGUGAACGCUGGCGGUAGGCCUAACACAUGCAAGUCGAACGGCAGCACAGGAGAGCUUGCUCUCUGGGUGGCGAGUGGCGGACGGGUGAGGAAUACAUCGGAAUCUACUCUGUCGUGGGGGAUAACGUAGGGAAACUUACGCUAAUACCGCAUACGACCUGCGGGUGAAAGCAGGGGACCUUCGGGCCUUGCGCGAUUGAAUGAGCCGAUGUCGGAAUAGCUAGUUGGCGGGGUAAAGGCCCACCAAGGCGACGAUCCGUAGCUGGGCUGAGAGGAUGAUCAGCCACACUGGAACUGAGACACGGUCCAGACUCCUACGGGAGGCAGCAGUGGGGAAUAUUGGACAAUGGGCGCAAGCCUGAUCCAGCCAUACCGCGUGGGUGAAGAAGGCCUCGGGUUGUAAAGCCCUUUUGUUGGGAAAGAAAUCCAGCUGGCUAAUACCCGGUUGGGAUGACGGUACCCAAAGAAUAAGCACCGGCUAACUUCGUGCCAGCAGCCGCCGUAA
This 505-nucleotide ribosomal RNA is filed under the name uncultured bacterium. RNAcentral describes it as "partial 16S ribosomal RNA". It matches the Rfam family "Bacterial small subunit ribosomal RNA", at positions 29 to 523 of the family's 1533-position model. The record is from RNAcentral.